AGCGCAUACCUCGCGGUCGUGUUUUGGCCGUCGAGGGGUGUUGCGUUUCGGUGGAUCCGUACCGCUCGAAUUGCUGACCGCCUAAGUGAUUGCUUGAAUGCAGCCCCAAGGAGGGUGGUAGGCCCGUGUGGCGGCGCCUGUAAAAAGGUUGGAAGCAAUUUGGGCGGAGGGAUGUUUACCGUAGAGUCGGGUUGCUUAGUACUGCAGCCCUAAGUAGGUGGUAAACUCCAUCUAAGGCUAAAUACUACCACGAGUCCGAUAUUUGACAAGUACCGUGAGGGAAAGCUGAAAAGGACUCUGAAGAGAGAGUUCAAGAGGACGUGAAACCAUUAGAAGCUGAAACGGGUGGAACCGUGAAGGUGGAAAGAGGGGAUUCAGGCUGCUGGCAUGAGCAUCUGGCUUGGAGUUUUGUAGAGAGAUGGGACCCGGCGUACGAGUGAGUUGCCCGGGCACUCUUUGCCAGUUUGCUGGUGUGAGCGGGCUUAUUUCUCCCUCGAGUACUGGACGUGGCGACCCGCUGCCCGGACCCCGAGGUGCCCCCGGGACUGGUAGCCUAGACUCGAGAGGGUUUGGGUGAAGACCCGGUCGGGUUACUGAGUGGGUGCGAGCGGCGGUCACUGUGAGGAGGCGG
Molecule: ribosomal RNA, 631 nt
Filed under: Macrobrachium idae
Lineage: Eukaryota; Metazoa; Arthropoda; Malacostraca; Decapoda; Palaemonidae
Description: eukaryotic LSU rRNA
Rfam family: Eukaryotic large subunit ribosomal RNA
Source: RNAcentral